GUAGGGGGACCUCGAGGACCACAAAUACUCAGUUCCACUUUGAUUCACCAUGUGGGUGUUGAUAGAGCAGCCAACAGGAUCGGAGAAGGUCACACUCUGCAGAGACACUCCCACAUGCAGCUCUUCAUAUCUCUGUAAGCACAGCGACAGACAUGUAUGACGCUCUCAGUUUUAGAACAUGAACAUCAUCAAACACGGACGCCUCAGCUUUUUAAUAUCACUACUCUGGAUACAAGGUCUAACUGAUGGGAGUGAUGUCACCCAGACGGACAUACUGUGGAAAAACAAGGCCGACAAGGCAACAAUAAGCUGCAGCCACACCAAGGGUGGCACCUAUUACCAGAUGUACUGGUACAGACAGCUGCCAGGAGAAACAAUGAAACAAAUAGUGCUCACUAUUAUAUACAGCAAACCUAACUUUGAACCAGGCUUUAAUGAAGAGAAAUUCUCAACCACCAAGCCUGACGCUGAGAGUGGGACAUUCACAGUGAACAAUCUGGAGCCUGAAGAUAAAGGCUUGUAUUUCUGUGCUGUGAGUGAACACAGUGAUACAGAUGCAUUCAACAGCUGAACAAAAACCCCAGUGCAGAGUUGGCUCUAUUAGUGAGUCUUUCUAUCUGCUGUACUGUAGAGGGACCUCAAGUACAAUCACAGAACAUUGCAUCAUACAAUAUC
Etheostoma spectabile (orangethroat darter) is the source of this 675-nucleotide non-coding RNA. The record is from the annotation of a RefSeq genome assembly. Lineage: Eukaryota; Metazoa; Chordata; Actinopteri; Perciformes; Percidae.